Molecule: ribosomal RNA, 216 nt
Filed under: Glomeromycotina sp.
Lineage: Eukaryota; Fungi; Glomeromycota
Description: partial small subunit ribosomal RNA
Rfam family: Eukaryotic small subunit ribosomal RNA (bases 40-216)
Source: RNAcentral
GGGUCAGUAGGUUGGUCGUGCCACCGGUACGUACUGGUCUCACUGAUUCCUCCUUCCUGAAGAACCGUAAUGCCAUUAAUUUGGUGUUGCGGGGAAACAGGACUGUUACUUUGAAAAAAUUAGAGUGUUUAGAGCAAGCUAACGCUUGAAUACAUUAGCAUGGAAUAAUGAAAUAGGACGAUCGAUCCUAUUUUGUUGAUUUCUAGGAUUGACGUA